UAACGCGUGGGUAACCGGCCUCAUACAGGGGGAGUAACAGUUAGAAAGUGACUGCUAAUACGCAUAAGCCCACGGCUCGGCAUCGAGCAGGGGAAAGGAGCAAUCCGCUUUGAGAUGGCCUCGCGUCCGAUUAGCUAGUUGGUGAGGUAAUGGCCCACCAAGGCAACGAUCGGUAGCCGGACUGAGAGGUUGAACGGCCACAUUGGGACUGAGACACGGCCCAG
Molecule: ribosomal RNA, 224 nt
Filed under: uncultured bacterium
Lineage: Bacteria
Description: partial 16S ribosomal RNA
Rfam family: Bacterial small subunit ribosomal RNA
Source: RNAcentral